GAAAGUGAGGGUGAAGAGAGCACUGAUUUAUUGAGCUGAAAAUAUUGUUAGAAAUGCAAUCGAAAUCCACUCGAAAUGAAUUUGUUAGUUAGAAAUGAAAUGCGAAUUAGAGUUAGUUGGAACAUUCAGUUCGAUUAGUUGGUGGUGAUCAUGAUUCCCUGCAUGUUGCGUUUGUGUUAUGGUGGUCUGAUCUUGUGUGUUAUGUUAAUUGCUUUGCAGUGUAACAAUCAAUUAGAUUUUGGAGUUCAUGAGUUAUGCAGGUUAAAGUUAAUUUGGAAUGGACUGUUUCCCUAUUGGUGUUAACAUGAACUAUUAGGAGACUUGUUUAAGUUACAGCCCUGAGGUAAUUUGCAUCAGUUAACCCUGUUGGUUUUUCACCUUGCCAUGGUUAGAAUGGCUGUUAUGUUAGGGAUUUAGUGAGCUGUAACAUCGGCUUUUCACCAUGAACUGUCAGGAGUGCAUGCUAGUGUAGUUAAAUUUGAAUGUGAUUGCUACUGUUUGUUGAUAACAUGUUAGGAUUGUGGGAAUGUUUGCAUGAUUCAAAUGUUAUCCUAUGCAAUGUUUACUAUGAAUUGUUAGUCAAACUAUUAGCAAGGUUAGUGAGGAAGUUAACUCAAGAUGCUUUGAAAAAAUGGUUGUUAGUGUUAGAUUCCAUUUUUGUUAAAGAGUGAGCUAAGAGUUAAUUGUUAGGUUUAAGUUAAUUGAAAUGAAGUGGUAAAAUACUUGUCAAUAAUUUCUGCUUGUGCCUACUAUAGGGAACACUGUCAACCCUGUUAUGAGUUAAACUCGAUUCCUUGUUAAUGCAGUUAGGGUGAAUGAACUGUUUUGCUAUGUUUGUGAAGUGGUUCUAGUUUAUGACUCAACAUUGCUUUACAUAGUUCUGCAGCAGGAAUUCUAAAUUGGUUCAUGGUAUGCAUUGUUUCAAUUAUGACUUUUCCCCCUCUUUUAUGCAACAUGGCAACUUCUUGGAUUUUGCUUGAAUUGUGUACUUUUUGGUUGUAGGAACAUCAUUUCAUGCAUGGAGUGUUUCUUGACUAUGUGGUGAGUUCAAAAAUCAUGGUGACACAAGGAUAACUUGGCUCAUCAAAGGUUAUGGUUUCAAGGCAAAAAGGCAUGGAAGCAUACUUGAACUUGGUUCUUGUUUGAAAAAAAAGUGUGAAGAUGCAAAUAGGGAAUGAAGGAGAUUAGGAUUACCAUGAGGCUGAAAAUAGAAUAGGUUAGGACUUAGAAGAUAUGAGUUGGCUUUGGUCAACUGGUUGACCAAAUAGUCAACAAUUGACCAAAGUCAACUAUUGGUUAAAAAUCAAAAUUUUGCUUUGUAACUUUUUGUAUAGACAUUGUAACACGAUUUUGUGUGAAUGAAUGAACAAUUUUGAAUAAAA
Molecule: long non-coding RNA, 1382 nt
Filed under: Lathyrus oleraceus (garden pea)
Lineage: Eukaryota; Viridiplantae; Streptophyta; Magnoliopsida; Fabales; Fabaceae
Description: Pisum sativum (pea) long non-coding RNA (PSAT_LNC034287)
Source: RNAcentral